This 377-nucleotide ribosomal RNA is filed under the name uncultured bacterium. Its description in RNAcentral is "bacterial SSU rRNA". It matches the Rfam family "Bacterial small subunit ribosomal RNA", at positions 30 to 408 of the family's 1533-position model. The record is from RNAcentral.
AUUGAACGCUGGCGGCAUGCCUUACACAUGCAAGUCGAACGGCAGCACGGGAGCAAUCCUGGUGGCGAGUGGCGAACGGGUGAGUAAUAUAUCGGAACGUGCCCAGUCGUGGGGAUAACGUAGCGAAAGCUACGCUAAUACCGCAUACGAUCUACGGAUGAAAGCGGGGGAUCGCAAGACCUCGCGCGAUUGGAGCGGCCGAUAUCAGAUUAGGUAGUUGGUGAGGUAAAGGCUCACCAAGCCGACGAUCUGUAGCUGGUCUGAGAGGACGACCAGCCACACUGGGACUGAGACACGGCCCAGACUCCUACGGGAGGCAGCAGUGGGGAAUUUUGGACAAUGGGCGCAGACCUGAUCCAGCAAUGCCGCGUGCAGGA